Long non-coding RNA from Nicotiana attenuata, 1093 nucleotides. RefSeq lists it as uncharacterized. The record is from RefSeq and is a predicted model, not a curated record. The transcript has 7 exons. NCBI's taxonomy places the organism in Eukaryota, Viridiplantae, Streptophyta, Magnoliopsida, Solanales, Solanaceae.
UGAUGCAACUAAGGAUAUGAGACGUAUGUUGAUGAUAUCGGUUGGAUCUAAAUGGAAAGAAUGGAAGCAUGAAACAAAAAUGAUUGGUUAUGAGCCAUACAACAACGAUAUCGAGCGCUUAGCUAAACGUCCAGACAAGGUAGAAGAAGACCAGUGGCGUGCAUUAGUUCAUUAUUGGAGUUCUAAUGAAGCAAAGGAAAAGAGCGAGAGGAACAAAGAAAGUCGAAGGAAGCUGAGUAUGCCACACACAUCAGGAAGAAAAAGUCAUUCUCAAAUUAUAGAUGAUAUGACAAAGAAGAAUGGUGUAAAAUCAAGUCGUAUCGAGGUAUUCAAAUAAACACAUACGAGAAAGAAUAAACAACUAGUAAAUGAGAUAGCUGAUGAAACUAUGAAAGAAAUGGAUGAACUUGCUAAGGUGUAUCCCGAGUUAAAUGUUCCUGGAAGUGCUCCCAAUGAUGUGUAUGCACAGGUCAGGGGACCAGACACUCAUGGAAAUGUUCGAACUUUAGGAAAAGGAGCAGCUCCAAGUUUUAUUUAUGGCCCUGCAUAUAAGCGAUCCCAGGCUGAGCAAAGAGAUUUUGAUAGAAGAGUUGAGAUGGAAGAUGAAAAAGCUACCUCCUCUAUGAGAAUUGCGAUAGAAGAAAAAUUGUCUGAAGCAAAAAAAGAAAUAGAAGCGAUGGAGAAAAAGUUAUUUGAAGCAAAAGAAGAAAUAAAAGCGAUGGGGGAAAAAUGUUAGAAGCAACAAAGGAUAUGGAUUCAAAAAUAGACGAUAAAGUAAAGGUUUCUUAUAACCCAAUGGACGAUCACCAACAAUCACAAUCACCUGUUUCACUUGUUCAUACAAAGAUGGUUAACAUAAUCAAGAAGAUUGGAGUUAGUGAAGUUGGCACAAAGAAAAAGAAGCGGCAUUCGUGAAGGAAGUGAUGUCAAUUACUAGCAGUGAAAAGCUUGACUUGUGGAGAGUUGGUUUUAUAAGGUUUACUCUAGAAGUUGAGGAAAAUGAAUUCGAAUUAGGAGUGAUCUUAAAGUACUUACACAUUGAAAUUACUAUCUUUUAUGAUUUAGUUAGAUUUGGGUUUUACGUGAGAACAAA